RNAcentral lists this long non-coding RNA (585 nucleotides) under Homo sapiens (human). Its description in RNAcentral is "long non-coding RNA NONHSAT222675". Lineage: Eukaryota; Metazoa; Chordata; Mammalia; Primates; Hominidae. The record is from RNAcentral.
CUUGUAGUUUAGCUGUCCUCCAUACUCUCAAAGCUCUUAUGACCAAAUAAACAAAUAGAAUCACUCCCCAUACCAGCCAGGAAGAUAACAUCCACCAAGCAGGAAGCAUAACGAGCAAACUAAUGAAGGCAAAUAGCAUUGAGACAUCCCAAAUAUUAGGGGUUGCCAGGGAGCAAAGUGUUGGAAGGUGUCCACUUUCCUGUUGUUGAGGUUGUCCUGCUUACAGGAUACUGGAAUCAAGUAGCUCAGUGAGCUCCACAUCCUCUUGAAACAGGACUUCCUGUUGCAGGAUGGUAUGUAAUGAGUUGAGUCGGAAUCCAAUAUCCAACUUGUGAAGUAAGUCAUCUUUCUUACUGCGCUGAGAAAAAACCCAACUUCUGGUGGUUUUAGCCACUUUUAACAGAAUGCGUAUUUUGGUAGGACUCUUGUAGGAGGCUUUUGUUGUCCCUCCGUGGCGCAUUUUUCUGUUUUUGGUGACAAAGAACAUAUUUCAAAGUCUGUGUGUCCCGGAUCCUGUAAGUACUGAUAAAGCGGAGAAUUCCAAAAGCUACCUCCUUGUCAAACUCCAAUGUCAUCCUUCUCUGC